This 898-nucleotide long non-coding RNA is filed under the name Phasianus colchicus (ring-necked pheasant). RNAcentral describes it as "lncRNA (ENSPCLG00000016676.1)". The record is from RNAcentral. Lineage: Eukaryota; Metazoa; Chordata; Aves; Galliformes; Phasianidae.
GGGUCACGGUGGGGUCGAAGGUCGCGGGGUCAGGAGGGGUCGAAGGUCAUGGGAUCGGGAGGGGUCAAAGGUCGUGGGGUCAAAGGCUGUGGGGUCAAAGGUUGUGGGGUCAGGGUGGGGUUGAAGGUUGUGGGGUCAGGAAGGGUCGAAGGUCAUGGGAUCGGGAGGGGUCAAAGGUCGUGGGGUCAGGAUGAGGUCAAAGGUUGUGGGGUCGGGAUGGGCUCAAAGGUCAUGGGGUCAAGGGAGGGAUCAAAGGUCGCGAGUCUGGGGGUCAAAGGUCAAAGGGUCAGGGAUCAGAGGUCACAGGAUGUGAAGGGGUCAAAGGUCGUGGGGUCAGGGUGGGGUCAGAGGUCACCGGGUCAGGAGGAGGUCAGAAGUCAAGGGGUCAAUGGGGAAACUUUGGGGGUCAAGGGGAACUGAAUGGGAAUUCAAUGGGAACUCAGGAACAUUGGGGACUUUUGGGGACAUUGGGGUCCAUUUAGGGUCCUUUUGGGGCCAUUAGGGUCCAUUUACGGUCCUUUUAGGGUCAUUAGGGUCCAUUAGGGUCCAUAUAGGGCCGUCAGGGCCAUAUAGGGUCCAUUGGGGCUCAUUAGGGUCCAUUUAGGGUCCUUUUGGGGUCAUUAGGGUCCAUUAGGGUCCAUUAGGGUCCAUUAGGGUCCAUUUGGGGUCAUUAGGGUCCAUUUGGGUCCAUUUAGGGUCAUUAGGGUCCACUAGGGUCCAUUAGGGCCAUAUAGGGUCCAUUUAGGUUCCUUUUGGGGUCAUUAGAGUCCAUUAGAGUCCAUUAGGGUCAUUAGGGUCCAUUAGGGUCCUUUUGGGGUCAUUAAGGUCCAUUAGGGUCCAUUUAGGGUCCUUUUGGGGCCAUUAGGGUCCUUUUGGGGUCAUUAGGGUCCAUUGGGGU